AUUGAACGCUGGCGGCAGGCCUAACACAUGCAAGUCGAACGGUAACAGGAAGAAGCUUGCUUCUUUGCUGACGCGUGGCGGACGGGUGAGUAAUGUCUGGGAAACUGCCUGAUUUAGGGGGAUAACUACUGGAAACGGUAGCUAAUACCGCAUAACGUCGCAAGACCAAAAAGGGGGACCUUCUCGCCUCUUGCCAUCUUAUGUGCCCAGAUGGGAUUAGCUAGUAGGUGGGGUAACGGCUCACCUAGGCGACGAUCCCUAGCUGGUCUGAGAGGAUGACCAGCCACACUGGAACUGAGACACGGUCCAGACUCCUACGGGAGGCAGCAGUGGGGAAUAUUGGACAAUGGGCGCAAGCCUGAUGCAGCCAUGCCGCGUGUAUGAAGAAGGCCUUCGGGUUGUAAAGUACUUUCAGCGGGGAGGAAGGGAGUAAAGUUAAUACCUUGGCUUAUUGACGUUACCCGAAGAAGAAGCACCGGCUAACUCCGUG
RNAcentral lists this ribosomal RNA (490 nucleotides) under uncultured bacterium. RNAcentral describes it as "partial 16S ribosomal RNA". It matches the Rfam family "Bacterial small subunit ribosomal RNA", at positions 30 to 507 of the family's 1533-position model. The record is from RNAcentral.